GGGCGGUUAGCUCAGUUGGCACGAGCGCUUGCUUCACACGCAAGAGGUCACUGGUUCAAGCCCAGUACCGCCCACCG
RNAcentral lists this transfer RNA (77 nucleotides) under Chloroflexota bacterium. RNAcentral's name for it is "Chloroflexi bacterium tRNA-Val". It matches the Rfam family "tRNA". From Rfam's summary of the family: Transfer RNA (tRNA) molecules are approximately 80 nucleotides in length. Their secondary structure includes four short double-helical elements and three loops (D, anti-codon, and T loops). Further hydrogen bonds mediate the characteristic L-shaped molecular structure. tRNAs have two regions of fundamental functional importance: the anti-codon, which is responsible for specific mRNA codon recognition, and the 3' end, to which the tRNAs corresponding amino acid is attached (by aminoacyl-tRNA synthetases). tRNAs cope with the degeneracy of the genetic code in two manners: having more than one tRNA (with a specific anti-codon) for a particular amino acid; and 'wobble' base-pairing, i.e. permitting non-standard base-pairing at the 3rd anti-codon position. The record is from RNAcentral. Lineage: Bacteria; Bacillati; Chloroflexota.